UAACUAGAACUAGAAGAUCUGUAGCUGCACUUUUAGUUUCACUGUGUUGCUCUGCUCUAGACUGCUAUCAUCUCUUUUUAUAAGGAGCAGCAUUCAAUGGUCAGAAGCACGAGGAAGAAAAGAAUGAAGCUAUUCUUAUCUGCCAUCUUGUCGUUUAUCGUCCACAUUUUUGUGGUUUCAGCCAUGGACGAAUUUACUCCUGAUGAGAACCACUGCCUGAUGAACGAUGAUAAAAUGACAGCUAUCAUUUGUGUCAGUAGCUCUGGUGACAUGGUACAGGAAAGCAGCAAUCAUUGUCUGCAAGAUACAAACUCCUGCUAUUCAUCACUGGAUUGUGCUAUGGAGGAAGCACAGCAAGAGCCAAAGAAUACUACCAUCAUAUGUCUCAACCCUGGUAAUUACAUGCUGAAUGUAAAUGUUACAUUUGAGAAUUUCAAUAGUGGAAUUUCUAUUAUUGGUAACAGUA
Amphimedon queenslandica is the source of this 466-nucleotide long non-coding RNA. RefSeq lists it as uncharacterized. Lineage: Eukaryota; Metazoa; Porifera; Demospongiae; Haplosclerida; Niphatidae. The record is from RefSeq and is a predicted model, not a curated record. The transcript is spliced from 2 exons.